UAAUACAUGCAAGUCGAACGCACAGCGAAAGGUGCUUGCACCUUUCAAGUGAGUGGCGAACGGGUGAGUAACACGUGGACAACCUGCCUCAAGGCUGGGGAUAACAUUUGGAAACAGAUGCUAAUACCGAAUAAAACUUAGUGUCGCAUGACACAAAGUUAAAAGGCGCUUUGGCGUCACCUAGAGAUGGAUCCGCGGUGCAUUAGUUAGUUGGUGGGGUAAAGGCCUACCAAGACAAUGAUGCAUAGCCGAGUUGAGAGACUGAUCGGCCACAUUGGGACUGAGACACGGCCCAAACUCCUACGGGAGGCUGCAGUAGGGAAUCUUCCACAAUGGGCGAAAGCCUGAUGGAGCAACGCCGCGUGUGUGAUGAAGGCUUUCGGGUCGUAAAGCACUGUUGUAUGGGAAGAACAGCUAGAAUAGGGAAUGAUUUUAGUUUGACGGUACCAUACCAGAAAGGGACGGCUAAAUACGUGCCAGCAGCCGCGGUAAUACGUAUGUCCCGAGCGUUAUCCGGAUUUAUUGGGCGUAAAGCGAGCGCAGACGGUUGAUUAAGUCUGAUGUGAAAGCCCGGAGCUCAACUCCGGAAUGGCAUUGGAAACUGGUUAACUUGAGUGCAGUAGAGGUAAGUGGAACUCCAUGU
This 643-nucleotide ribosomal RNA is filed under the name Leuconostoc pseudomesenteroides. RNAcentral describes it as "bacterial SSU rRNA". It matches the Rfam family "Bacterial small subunit ribosomal RNA", at positions 49 to 674 of the family's 1533-position model. The record is from RNAcentral. Lineage: Bacteria; Bacillati; Bacillota; Bacilli; Lactobacillales; Lactobacillaceae.